RNAcentral lists this ribosomal RNA (466 nucleotides) under uncultured bacterium. Its description in RNAcentral is "bacterial SSU rRNA". It matches the Rfam family "Bacterial small subunit ribosomal RNA", at positions 337 to 794 of the family's 1533-position model. The record is from RNAcentral.
UCCUACGGGAGGCAGCAGUGGGGAAUAUUGCGCAAUGGGCGAAAGCCUGACGCAGCGACGCCGCGUGGGUGAUGAAGGCCUUCGGGUCGUAAAGCCCUGUCGGGAGGGACGAAACCUCGGCGACCUAAUACGUCGUCGACCUGACGGUACCUCCUAAGGAAGCACCGGCUAACUCCGUGCCAGCAGCCGCGGUAAUACGGAGGGUGCGAGCGUUGUUCGGAAUCACUGGGCGUAAAGCGCGUGUAGGCGGCCUGGUAAGUCUGAUGUGAAAGCCCGGGGCUUACCCCCGGAAGUGCAUUGGAAACUGCGAGGCUAGAGUACCGGAGAGGAAGGUGGAAUUCCUGGUGUAGCGGUGAAAUGCGUAGAUAUCAGGAGGAACACCGGUGGCGAAGGCGGCCUUCUGGACGGAUACUGACGCUGAGACGCGAAAGCGUGGGGAGCAAACAGGAUUAGAUACCCUGGUAGC